RNAcentral lists this ribosomal RNA (438 nucleotides) under uncultured bacterium. Its description in RNAcentral is "partial 16S ribosomal RNA". It matches the Rfam family "Bacterial small subunit ribosomal RNA", at positions 29 to 507 of the family's 1533-position model. The record is from RNAcentral.
AACGAACGCUGGCGGCAUGCCUAACACAUGCAAGUCGAACGAGACCUUCGGGUCUAGUGGCGCACGGGUGCGUAACGCGUGGGAACCUGCCCUUAGGUUCGGAAUAACUCCCCGAAAGGGGUGCUAAUACCGGAUAAUGUCUUCGGACCAAAGAUUUAUCGCCUGUGGAUGGGCCCGCGUUGGAUUAGCUAGUUGGUAGGGUAAAAGCCUACCAAGGCGACGAUCGGUAGCUGGUCUGAGAGGAUGAUCGGCCACACUGGGACUGAGACACGGCCCAGACGCCUACGGGAGGGAGCAGGGGGGAAUAUUGCAGAAUGGGCGGAAGCCUGAUGCAGCAACGCCGCGGGCGGGAAGAAGGCCUUCGGGGUGUAAACCGCAUGCGCCUGUGACGAAGCGGGAGUGACGGUAAUGGGUAAAGAAGCACCGGCUAACUACGUG